Molecule: ribosomal RNA, 486 nt
Filed under: uncultured bacterium
Lineage: Bacteria
Description: partial 16S ribosomal RNA
Rfam family: Bacterial small subunit ribosomal RNA
Source: RNAcentral
AUUGAACGCUGGCGGCAUGCCUUACACAUGCAAGUCGAACGGCAGCACGGGUGCUUGCACCUGGUGGCGAGUGGCGAACGGGUGAGUAAUACAUCGGAACAUGUCCUGUAGUGGGGGAUAGCCCGGCGAAAGCCGAAUUAAUACCGCAUACGAUCUACGGAUGAAAGCGGGGGACCUUCGGGCCUCGCGCUAUAGGGUUGGCCGAUGGCUGAUUAGCUAGUUGGUGGGGUAAAGGCCUACCAAGGCGACGAUCAGUAGCUGGUCUGAGAGGACGACCAGCCACACUGGGACUGAGACACGGCCCAGUCUCCUACGGGAGGCAGCAGUGGGGAAUUUUGGACAAUGGGCGAAAGCCUGAUCCAGCAAUGCCGCGUGUGUGAAGAAGGCCUUCGGGUUGUAAAGCACUUUUGUCCGGAAAGAAAUCCUUGGCCCUAAUACGGUCGGGGGAUGACGGUACCGGAAGAAUAAGCACCGGCUAACUACGUG